GAUGAACGCUAGCUACAGGCUUAACACAUGCAAGUCGAGGGGUAACGAGAGGAAAGCUUGCUUUCCUUGUCGACGACCGGCGCACGGGUGAGUAACGCGUAUCCAACCUGCCCCCAACUAGGGAAUAACCUUGCGAAAGUAAGACUAAUACCCUAUAAUUUCCUCAGAUGUCAUCUGACGAGGAAUAAAGAUUUAUCGGUUGUGGAUGGGGAUGCGUCUGAUUAGCUUGUUGGCGGGGUAACGGCCCACCAAGGAAGCGAUCAGUAGGGGUUCUGAGGGGAAGGUCCCCCACAUUGGAACUGAGACACGGUCCAAACUCCUACGGGAGGCAGCAGUGAGGAAUAUUGGUCAAUGGGCGGAAGCCUGAACCAGCCAAGUAGCGUGCAGGAUGACGGCCCUAUGGGUUGUAAACUGCUUUUAUACAGGAAUAAAGUUAGCCACGUGUGGUUAUUUGUAGGUACUGUAUGAAUAAGGACCGGCUAAUUCCGUGCCAGCAGCCGCCGUAA
RNAcentral lists this ribosomal RNA (506 nucleotides) under uncultured bacterium. RNAcentral's name for it is "partial 16S ribosomal RNA". It matches the Rfam family "Bacterial small subunit ribosomal RNA", at positions 28 to 523 of the family's 1533-position model. The record is from RNAcentral.